UGGAAGACUAGUGAUUUUGUUGUUGUUGCUAGCUUACAAACAAAAAAUCACAGUCAUCCAUU
RNAcentral lists this microRNA precursor (62 nucleotides) under Ptychodera flava. RNAcentral's name for it is "Pfl-Mir-7_pre stem-loop". Lineage: Eukaryota; Metazoa; Hemichordata; Enteropneusta; Ptychoderidae. The record is from RNAcentral.